UUUUGUUCAAACUCAUUGUAUUCUACUGAAUGUGUCAUCGAAAUGAUACAGGAUUCAUCAUAAUUGUCUGCUGUUUGUAUUGAACUUGCUAGAUAACCGACUCCAGCAUGGACCAAUCUCUAUUAUUCCAUCUUCUAGAGAAUCUUUGAUAACUGAUUGGUGGUUUCAUGUGUUUCUAAAUUGGCAUGACUGACUUUAUGAGAAGUUACAUCCUUUCAUGAAAAAGGACUUACAGUCAACAAGAUUCCUUGUUUGCUGACCCGCUGGCUACUAUGCUACCUUGCAGUCCUUGCUACCCUUGAAUCUCCCUAUUUGUCAACAGCAAAAAAAGAGUUUAAAUAUUGUGAUCAUGCUUUCAUAGUUGUGUUUACAUUGAAUUUAGAGAAGUUGUAAUACUAAUAGCAAUUUUAAUGAUUGUUUGGUUUCUUAUUUAGAUGUUGCCUAUUAAGACCAAAUAUCCCUCCAAAAUAAGGCAAUGACCACACGUUCAACGCGGAUCAUUCGUUCUGUCAUCGAACUUGACUCAUUCCAUCUUCUGGAUUGCUUAGGAAAGCUGAUUGGUGUUACCUGGCCAUUUAGGUAAUGACCAAGAAGAUGCGGCCAACAUGAACAUCAUUUAGACGGCCAGCAACAUUCGACUGCCCAACCGACUUCUACUACCCUGCUCUCAACACAGCACGGAGUUUUACCCUUUAGAUUUUUGGCUGUUCGCGAUGUGUGAUGGUGUUUCCUUGGACGAGAUGAUGAUUUUGGCGAGAAAAAUGUUGCGUUCUAACCUUCAGGUUCCUAAAUAUGAAAAGUAAUGUUCUUUCAAGAAAGUCAACGAGGUCCCUUACUCCCUUGUUUGCUAACCCAAUGGCUGCUACCCUUGAAUCUCCCUAUUUAGCUCCUUACACAGUCCCGAGGUAUUGCUUUUUGUCGCUACA
This is a long non-coding RNA of Daphnia pulex (common water flea), 926 nucleotides long. RefSeq lists it as uncharacterized. The record is from RefSeq and is a predicted model, not a curated record. Lineage: Eukaryota; Metazoa; Arthropoda; Branchiopoda; Diplostraca; Daphniidae. The transcript is spliced from 5 exons.